AGACCGCGGCGGUGCUUGGCCGAGCCUUGCGAGGCGCCUGUCACAUGAGCCGCGCGCCCGCUCCGCUCCCCCUCCUCCUGGCUGGGCUGUGAAUGAAGCUCUGCCGGCUACGUGGGGCGCUAGCUCAACUCAGUGUCCCGGACGCCAGAGCCGACUGAGCGCUCUGCCCGCCGGCGGCGGACACGGGCUCCGCCGCUCCGGACUUCGGCGACAGGUUCUGAGCUGGAACACCUUGCCGAAAACCAGACGGCACAGCUGCUCGUCCAUCUACGUCCCAGUCAAGCCUGCCUACAAAACUGGGGAGGGGGGGGGUCUGGGAAACUCUGAGCCUGUGACCCCAACGUGGGAGAGAAUAGGAUCAAGAUGGCCAUGUGGCAAGGUAAGAAGUUCGCUCUUCUUCCUCUCACUGGUUUUUUUCCUCCUCUAUCCUCCAUCCCAACCCAAACCCCCAAGCCCAUGGCAGGCCGCCAGCCAGCUGUUUCUUUAAUUUAACCCUUUGUCUUCCCAAGGACAAAGCAUAUUAGUUUAAAAGGAGUUGCUGCCAGCUGGACGUUCAGAGUAUUUUAAAGUAGGGGUGGAGGGAUGUGUGUGUGUGUGUGGGGGGGGGUAUAGGUGUAGCAGGAAAAUGUAGUGCCGGAAGCAUUUUCAAAGAACUCCCUUCAUUCGAACAUGUGCUCCUGGGAGGUGAUAUGUAAGGAGACAGAAGGUGGUCUUUUUUCCUUUCUCUUUUUCUUCUCUUUUUUUUUUCAUAUUUUUGUUUCUUAUUUAUUUCUGGCAAAUUUCUAUCAUCAAGUUCUCCAAGGUGGGGGAGUCAGAUGUCAGCACUUCCCUGGCUCCCUCUUCCCAAUGGAGACUUGAAAGCAUAUUUAAUGUUAUAGUGUUUAUAUUUGAUGAUAGAAGGAAAAUGCCUGUUUUAAUACUGUGGAAUGACCUUAAAGCAAAGCUCAAUGAUAUCUUGCCUGAUGGAUUCCAUCUCUUAUGAACCUAUGAAUUCUUAACCACAUGCAAAAAAAGUUAAUUUUUCUUUUUGCUGGGGUCGGGGAUUGGGCCUUUUGGGAGAGUAGCAGAAUCUCCAGGGGUGUGUGGGAUUUUGAUGUUUAUCAAAAGGAAGUAUGGGCGUUCCUGCUGUGGCACAAUGAGCUCCGCGGUGUCUCUGGAGUACUGGGACGCAGGUUCGAUCCCCGGCCCGGCACAGUGGGGUUAAGGAUCCAGCUGUCACAACUACGGCUCAGAUCUCUGACUCCUGGCCUGGGAAUUCCGUAUGCCACAGGGCAGCCUAAAAAGAAAACAAAAUUAAAAGGAGGUCUGGGUUUAAGAAACGGUAGACAAAAACAAGAACAAAAAGAAAUGGUAGACAGACACUACCCAGAUUGGUCUGUGACCCACAAAAGGUUAAGGACCAUUUAGAUGGAGUAGAAUGAAAGGAGCGCGAAUGUCUGUAAAUAUUCAACAAGUAGGUUUGUUGGUGGUCAAAUGUAUCUUUUAAAACUGGCUCCUGUUGGUUAUGGUUUGUGACAAAUAUUUUUGAUGUGCGCCGUCAAUUUAAAGAUACUCAUUGAAAUGAGGUUUGGCCCCGUAUACCUGCUUUUUUUGCGGGGGUGGGGGGGGACACACUUUUUUUAGGGCGUAUGGAAGUUCCCAGGCGAGGGAUCCAAUUGGAGCUAUAGCUGCUGGCCUACGCCACAGCCACAGCAAUGCAGGAUCCUUAACCCACUGAGCAAGGCCAGGGAUCAAAUCUGCAUCCUCAUGGAUACUAACUGGGUUUGUAACCCCCUGAGCCACAACAGGAACUCCCCUGAGUGCCUGCUUUGACUUCCCCAAUGGGCAUUUAUCAGGAGCAGUUUGGAUAUUCUUGUUUAAGUCCUGAGACAUUCUUUCAUUCGACAAGUAGAAUGCAGAGAUGGGUAAGGUGCAGAACCCUAGAGGGUUCCUUGUCUUAUGGCGGAGACAUAGUUAUAAACAAAUGACUGUGUCGGGUUGAAUAAGUGUUAAAAUAGGGAGACGCGCAAAAUGCGAUGGAGGGCCAGAGAAAAGAGAGAUGGACGGUGAGUUUUGAGUUGGGCUAAGGAAAAUGAGUGGGAGUUCGCCAGAUGGGCAAAUGAGAGAAUUGCGUUUUGGGCAGACAGAGAAGCACUGUCAGGGGAACUUGCAAGUUGCUCUGUUGGCCUCAUGUGAGGUGUGUGGGCUGCAACCUCAGACAAAGCAGAGAAGGUAGUCGGAGGCCGGAUGAUAAAAGAACCUUACAUGUUCGGAGUUCCUGUCGUGGCUCAGUGGUGAACGAACCCCACUAGGAACCAUGAGGUUGCGGGUUCGAUCCCUGGCCUCGCUCAGUGGGUUAAGGAUCCGGCGUUGCCGUGAGCUGUGGUGUAGGUCACAGACACGGCUCAGAUCCUGCGUGGCUGUGGCUCUGGCGUAGGCCGGUGGCUGCAGCUCCGAUUUGACCCCUAGCCUGGGAACCUCCAUAUGCCACGGGAACGGCCCUAGAAAAGGCAAAAAGACAAAAAACAAACAAACAAACAAAAAAACCCUUAUAUGUCCUAGGAAGGAUUUUAUACUUUAUUCCAAAGACAGAGAUUCUAAACAGGGAAAUAACGUAAUAAGAUUUUGUUGGAGGAUAAUUUCCUUGGCAGCAGUGUUGAGGUGGGAUUGGAGCCGGAGAGAAUGAGAGCCCAGAGCCAUUUGGGAGGUUUCUGGCAGAGCGGUUUCAGGAAGAAAUGCUGAGGGUCUGAGCAGAAGCAGGAGCAGCAAGGCUAGACACAUUCUGUGACUGGAUGUGGAGGGGGAACCCAGCUUGGGUUGAUACCCAGUUUGGGCACCUGGGGCCGGUGGUGCCAUUCACUGAGAUGGGGAACAUGGGAGGUGGCGAGCAGGGCAUGGGGGCGGUGGGAAGUUAGUGUGCCUAGUUUGGUUUGGCCGUUUUGUUUGAGACCCCUUGCAGGCUGUCAGGUCGAUGUUUAAAAAGACAGUCCUCGGCGUUCCUGUCGUGGCACAGCAGAAACGAAUCUGACUAGGACCCAUGAGGUGGCGGGUUCCAUCCCCAGCCUCGCUCAGUGUGUUAAGGAUCCGGUGUUAAGGAUCUGGAGCUGUGGUGUAGGUUGCAGAUGCGGCUCAGAUCCCGUGUGGCUGUGCCUGUGGGGUAGGCCAACAGCCGUAGCUCCGAUUGGACCCCUAGCCUGGGCACCUCCCUAUGCUGCAGGCGUGGCCCUAAAAAAGCAAAAAAAAAAAAAAAAAAAAAA
This 3236-nucleotide long non-coding RNA is filed under the name Sus scrofa (pig). Its description in RNAcentral is "lncRNA (ENSSSCG00015028994.1)". The record is from RNAcentral. Lineage: Eukaryota; Metazoa; Chordata; Mammalia; Artiodactyla; Suidae.